Erinaceus europaeus (western European hedgehog) is the source of this 297-nucleotide long non-coding RNA. RefSeq lists it as uncharacterized. The transcript is spliced from 3 exons. The record is from RefSeq and is a predicted model, not a curated record. Lineage: Eukaryota; Metazoa; Chordata; Mammalia; Eulipotyphla; Erinaceidae.
CAGAGCUAGAGGAGAGGCAGAGCGGAAGCAGCUGGAUGACAAAUCAUGAGAAGGGAAUCAUGAACACUGUGACUGUACCUUUGUGUUGAGCAAGCAUUUAUUUGGACUUGGGAGCAUCAAAGUGUACAUUGAAGACAGAAUACCCCCAGUGCUUCUUUCUUCAAAAAGAAAUGAUAUACUCAUAGAUGUGGAAUUCCUGGAGAAAAAUGGUAUGAACCAGUUUAAGGUUUCUCCUCCCCCAUCACAUAAAUAUUGCCCAAUGUUUGUAUGAUAUGUAGUAAAAACAUUCUUUUCUGA